AACGCACAUUGCACCCGGUGGUAUUCCGCCGGGUAUGCCUGUCUGAGCGUCAUUUCUACCCUCAAGCCCCGCUUGGUGUUGGCGGAUCGCCCGCUGCGGCGACCGCUAAAAUUCAACGGCGGUAGCGCCCGUGUCCCCUGUAUAGUACAUUUCUUGCAGCGGUCUGCGGGGGCCCACCAGCCUCGUACCCCACCAAAACGAAAGUUGACCUCAGAUCAGGUAGGAAUACCCGCUGAACUUAA
This 242-nucleotide unclassified non-coding RNA is filed under the name uncultured fungus. RNAcentral describes it as "sequence contains ITS2". The stretch from base 1 to 52 matches the Rfam family "5.8S ribosomal RNA", at positions 103 to 154 of the family's 154-position model. The record is from RNAcentral. Lineage: Eukaryota; Fungi.